UCCGUAGGUGAACCUGCGGAGGGAUCAUUACAGAGUUGCAAAACUCCCUAAACCAUUGUGAACGUUACCCUUAACCGUUGCUUCGGCGGGCGGCGCCAUGCCGCCCCUCGGCCCUUCCCGGGCGCCCGCCGGAGGAUACCCAACUCUUGAUAUUUUAUGGCCACUCUGAGUCUUCUGUACUGAAUAAGUCAAAACUUUCAACAACGGAUCUCUUGGUUCUGGCAUCGAUGAAGAACGCAGCGAAAUGCGAUAAGUAAUGUGAAUUGCAGAAUUCAGUGAAUCAUCGAAUCUUUGAACGCACAUUGCGCCCGCCAGUAUUCUGGCGGGCAUGCCUGUUCGAGCGUCAUUUCAACCAUCAAGCCCCCGGCUUGUGUUGGGGACCUGCGGCUGCCCGCAGGCCCUGAAAAACAGUGGCGGGCUCGCUGUCACACCGAGCGUAGUAGCAUCAUUCUCGCUCAGGGCGUGCUGCGGGUUCCGGCCGUUAAACGACCUUCAUAACCCAAGGUUGACCUCGGAUCAGGUAGGAAGACCCGCUGAACUUAAGCAUAUCAAUAAGCGGAGGA
Molecule: ribosomal RNA, 563 nt
Filed under: Amesomyces atrobrunneus
Lineage: Eukaryota; Fungi; Ascomycota; Sordariomycetes; Sordariales; Chaetomiaceae
Description: eukaryotic LSU rRNA
Rfam family: 5.8S ribosomal RNA (bases 193-346)
Source: RNAcentral